Molecule: ribosomal RNA, 378 nt
Filed under: uncultured bacterium
Lineage: Bacteria
Description: bacterial SSU rRNA
Rfam family: Bacterial small subunit ribosomal RNA
Source: RNAcentral
CCUGAACGCUGGCGGCGUGGCUAAGACAUGCAAGUCGCACGGUGUAGCAAUACACAGUGGCGAACGGGAGAGUAAUGAAUCGCUAACGUACCCCGGACUCUGGGAUAGCUAUCCGAAAGGGUAGGUAAUACCAGAUAAUACGACCUUGUCGCAUGGCAGGGUUUUCAAAGGUCCGCCGGUCUGGGAGCGGGCGAUUUCGUAUCAGCUAGUUGGUGAGGUAACGGCUCACCAAGGCGACGACGCGUAGCCGGACUGAGAGGAUGAUCAGCCACACUGGGACUGAGACACGGCCCAGACUCCUACGGGAGGCAGCAGUGGGGAAUAUUGGACAAUGGGCGAAAGCCUGAUCCAGCCAUGCCGCGUGAGUGAUGAAGGCCC